Molecule: ribosomal RNA, 355 nt
Filed under: uncultured bacterium
Lineage: Bacteria
Description: bacterial SSU rRNA
Rfam family: Bacterial small subunit ribosomal RNA
Source: RNAcentral
GUGAGUAGUUCAGAGUUUGAUCCUGGCUCAGGAUGAACGCUGGCGGCAUGCCUAACACAUGCAAGUCGAACGGAGUUAUUUUGAUUGAUUUCUUCGGAAUGAUUUUAAUUUAACUUAGUGGCGACGGGUGAGUAACGCGUGAGUAACCUGCCUCUCAGAGGGGAUAACGUUCUGAAAAGAACGCUAAUACCGCAUAACAUUCACGGACCGCAUGAUCUGUGAAUCAAAGCUUUAUGUGCUGGAAGAUGGCCUCGCGUCUGAUUAGCUAGUUGGUGGGGUAACGGCCCACCAAGGCGACGAUCAGUAGCCGGUCUGAGAGGAUGAACGGCCACAUUGGGACUGAGAUACGGCCCAG